AGUGAACGCUGGCGGCAGGCCUAACACAUGCAAGUCGAGCGGCAGCGCGGGUGUAGCAAUACAUCUGGCGGCGAGCGGCGGACGGGUGAGGAAUACAUCGGAAUUUACCCAAUCGUGGGGGAUAACGUAGGGAAACUUACGCUAAUACCGCAUGAACUGGAGACAGCAAAGCGGCGGACCGAAAGGCGUCGCGCGGUUGGAUGAGCCGAUGUCGGAUUAGCAGUUGGCGGGGUAAAGGCCCACCAAGGCGACGAUCCGUAGCUGGUCUGAGAGGAUGGCCAGCCACAUUGGGACUGAGACACGGCCCAGACUCCUACGGGAGGCAGCAGUGGGGAAUAUUGCGCAAUGGACGAAAGUCUGACGCAGCGACGCCGCGUGUGGGAUGACGGUCUUCGGAUUGUAAACCACUGUCGGGAGGGACGAA
Molecule: ribosomal RNA, 424 nt
Filed under: uncultured bacterium
Lineage: Bacteria
Description: bacterial SSU rRNA
Rfam family: Bacterial small subunit ribosomal RNA
Source: RNAcentral